RNA transcript from Myxocyprinus asiaticus (Chinese sucker), 2115 nucleotides. It is a transcript of the gene named serine palmitoyltransferase 1-like, with no coding region annotated. The transcript has 10 exons. Lineage: Eukaryota; Metazoa; Chordata; Actinopteri; Cypriniformes; Catostomidae. The record is from RefSeq and is a predicted model, not a curated record.
GUGACUGAGUCAAGAUGGCGUCGGGGCAACAGUGGGUGUUGGUGGAGAUGGUGCAAGCGUUUUAUGAGGCACCAGCAUAUCAUUUGAUUUUAGAAGGUAUUCUUAUAUUAUGGAUUAUCAGACUGCUGUUCUCAAAAACCUAUAAACUACAGGAGAGGUCAGACCUCACAGAAAAGGAGAAAGAGGAGUUAAUUGAGGAGUGGCAACCCGAGCUGCUAGUUCCACCAGUAUCUAAAGACCACCCGUCCCUUAAUUAUGAUGUAGUUACAGGGCCGCCAAGCCACAAAAUCAUCGUAAAUGGGAAAGAGUGCAUUAACUUUGCCUCAUUUAACUUCUUGGGUCUACUCAACAGUGAGCGUGUAAAGUUGAAGGCUUUGGCGUCACUAAAAAAAUAUGGUGUGGGAACUUGUGGACCAAGAGGAUUCUACGGGACCUUUGAUGUUCAUCUGGAGUUAGAAGAACGUUUAGCAACGUUCAUGAGAACAGAGGAGGCUAUUCUCUAUUCGUAUGGCUUUGCCACCAUGGCCAGUGCUAUUCCUGCAUACUCCAAGAGAGGAGACAUCAUCUUUGUUGAUGAGGCGGCUUGUUUCUCCAUUCAGAAAGGCCUGCAGGCUUCACGCAGCUUCAUCAAAUACUUCAAACACAAUGAUAUGGAGGAUCUAGAGCGCCUUCUGAAGGAGCAAGAGAUUGAGGAUCAUAAGAACCUACGUAAAGCCAGAGUAAUCAGACGAUUCAUCAUUGUUGAGGGCCUCUAUAUUAACACUGCAGAUAUCUGUCCACUCCCUGAACUGGUAUAGGACCAGGGGAGAUGGCCAUCACAAACUUUGUUACACUGGUGCUGAAACCUGGGAGGGAGGAGGGAUGCACUGUCGGAGAGCCCUCGCCGCUGUUCUAGGGUCGCAACGCCGAGGAGAUAUGGUUCGGUGGUAUUGGAGUGGUUUGCCAGGAGACGGGGGAGCCCGCUCCCCUCCGCCAGGAGACGGGGGAGCCCGCUGCCCUCCGCCAGGAGACGGGGGAGCCCGCUGCCCUCCGCCAGGAGACGGGGGAGCCCGCUGCCCUCCGCCAGGAGACGGGGGAGCCCGCUGCCCUCCGCCAGGAGACGGGGGAGCUCACUAGAGCUCACUGACAUCUGCCGGGAGGCGGAGGAGCCUGCUGACGUCCACUAGAAGGCGAGGUCCAGUGCCAUCGCCCGGCAUUGCGGAGGACCGCUGGCCAAGGACCAGGCGACAGCGUGUCCGGGGACCGGCGAGACACUUUCUCUCUCUCUCUCAUUCUGUCUCUCCCACUUCCUCUUUCUCUCUUCCCUCUCCCCCCCCCUCGUCUCUCUCAGUUUCCCAGGAGGCAGGGAAGGCCGGCCAAAAGGGCAACACCUCCCCUCCAGGAAGGGAGGGGGAGUAAGUCUGGCAGAGGUCUCCCUGGCCUGAAUCUGGUGGUGGUGGAGUGUGACGAGGAGGGGGGCGUGGCCGGGCCGUGAUGACGCACGCCUGGCACUGAGUUGACUAAUUAGCUGGAGAGAGAUAAGGGGGAGAGAGAGAGAGAUGCACGGAGCUGUGUGUGUGUCUUUGUUUGUUUUGCAGGUUGUUAUGUUUGAGUUCAGUUUGUUAUUAAAGUUUUACGUUGACUGUUCAGCCGGUUCCUGCCGCCGCCUUGCCCAUCUUAAGAACCAUGUAAUACUCAUUUAAAUGAACACCAUAUUUAUUUAUUUAUUUUUAUCAUUUAUUAUUAUUAUUUAAGUGUCAUUUAUUUCUCAUUCAAUAAAUUACAUAUGUACUAUAGGAACACUUCUGGUUCAUGUUACAUCUGGCAAAACCUCCAAACUUCUAAGUGACACCUAUUUUUUUUUAAAUAAAAAGCAUUUAAUGAAUUAACUAGCAGUUCAAGGUUAAAAUAUUAUAAAUUAAAAUGUAAAAAUAAUGAUCAGUUAUCGUUAUUGACCCAGAAAUUUCAUGAAUUGCGUUCUAACUAGGGAAACUUGCAUGCCAGCGUGGUCCAGUGAAAGAUGGGACUGAGACGAUGAAUCCCUGCACUUGAAAAAGCCAGCUCGGCUGAAACAGACAUGCAGAAAUAGAGACUUGCAAGCCGGUAGAGGCUGGGUGAAGUUGAAGUAUAAAUAUA